This 387-nucleotide ribosomal RNA is filed under the name Vibrio vulnificus. Its description in RNAcentral is "bacterial SSU rRNA". It matches the Rfam family "Bacterial small subunit ribosomal RNA", at positions 128 to 510 of the family's 1533-position model. The record is from RNAcentral. Lineage: Bacteria; Pseudomonadati; Pseudomonadota; Gammaproteobacteria; Vibrionales; Vibrionaceae.
GCCCUGAUGUGGGGGAUAACCAUUGGAAACGAUGGCUAAUACCGCAUGAUAGCUUCGGCUCAAAGAGGGGGACCUUAGGGCCUCUCGCGUCAGGAUAUGCCCAGGUGGGAUUAGCUAGUUGGUGAGGUAAGGGCUCACCAAGGCGACGAUCCCUAGCUGGUCUGAGAGGAUGAUCAGCCACACUGGAACUGAGACACGGUCCAGACUCCUACGGGAGGCAGCAGUGGGGAAUAUUGCACAAUGGGCGCAAGCCUGAUGCAGCCAUGCCGCGUGUGUGAAGAAGGCCUUCGGGUUGUAAAGCACUUUCAGUCGUGAGGAAGGUGGUAGUGUUAAUAGCACUAUCAUUUGACGUUAGCGACAGAAGAAGCACCGGCUAACUCCGUGCCA